AAAAAACCUCAGUCUCAGUCACUUCUCUUCUUCACGCUCACGACUCAUCUUCACUCUCGACCCUUCUCUUCAUCUUCACAAUCGCGCUCUUCCCUUCUCUUCAUCUUCACGCAACCGCACCGUAAGUCGUUGUGCCACCCACCACAAGCUCAUUGCUCCACUAGACCAGGUCUACGACUUGCCAGCUGUCGCUGCACCUGGGUCCCAUUUUCGAGGAUUAGGGUAAUUUGGAAGCCAUUGGAUGGGUUUGAACCCGGCAUACGAAGUGGAGGUGAAGCGUGUGUCACAGAUAUUAGUGGCGUUCGUUAACGACAUUGAGGAAGUGUUCGAUGCGAUGGUGAUGCCGGCUCAAAGCAUACAAAACUUGAUUCCAGAAAAGGGCUAGCCCCUCGAGACGGAGCAGAUGUUCCGUGAAGCAGGGGAACCCUGACCCAUUGUCAUCCUCGACAAGGAGCUCUCGCAAAUCGCACCCCCUACCAAAGUGCGUUUCCAUUUUCUCUUUUUCAAUUUUAUUUGUUUGGCCUGUAAUAUUUAAGCAUGUGAUUAGGCUUUCAAAUGUAAGUAUCAGUUCCUUAAGCAUGUGAUUAGGAGUUUGAGCCAUAAGUCUUUGUGUAUGGAAGAACAUCUAUUUAGAGAAAUCGGUUCGUUAAAUGGAUCUAUUUACCUCGAAAGAUUAGAAUUUUACUCUUGAGUGGUGGAUAACUUGGACACACUAAAAAGAUGGUGGAUACCUUGGAUACACUAGUGAAUUAAAUUUAAGUUUGUAUGAUUUUGAA
Long non-coding RNA from Glycine soja, 776 nucleotides. RefSeq lists it as uncharacterized. The transcript has 2 exons. The record is from RefSeq and is a predicted model, not a curated record. NCBI's taxonomy places the organism in Eukaryota, Viridiplantae, Streptophyta, Magnoliopsida, Fabales, Fabaceae.